This 679-nucleotide ribosomal RNA is filed under the name Escherichia coli. RNAcentral's name for it is "partial 23S ribosomal RNA". It matches the Rfam family "Bacterial large subunit ribosomal RNA", at positions 344 to 1026 of the family's 2925-position model. The record is from RNAcentral. Lineage: Bacteria; Pseudomonadati; Pseudomonadota; Gammaproteobacteria; Enterobacterales; Enterobacteriaceae.
GGAAAGGCGCGCGAUACAGGGUGACAGCCCCGUACACAAAAAUGCACAUGCUGUGAGCUCGAUGAGUAGGGCGGGACACGUGGUAUCCUGUCUGAAUAUGGGGGGACCAUCCUCCAAGGCUAAAUACUCCUGACUGACCGAUAGUGAACCAGUACCGUGAGGGAAAGGCGAAAAGAACCCCGGCGAGGGGAGUGAAAAAGAACCUGAAACCGUGUACGUACAAGCAGUGGGAGCACGCUUAGGCGUGUGACUGCGUACCUUUUGUAUAAUGGGUCAGCGACUUAUAUUCUGUAGCAAGGUUAACCGAAUAGGGGAGCCGAAGGGAAACCGAGUCUUAACUGGGCGUUAAGUUGCAGGGUAUAGACCCGAAACCCGGUGAUCUAGCCAUGGGCAGGUUGAAGGUUGGGUAACACUAACUGGAGGACCGAACCGACUAAUGUUGAAAAAUUAGCGGAUGACUUGUGGCUGGGGGUGAAAGGCCAAUCAAACCGGGAGAUAGCUGGUUCUCCCCGAAAGCUAUUUAGGUAGCGCCUCGUGAAUUCAUCUCCGGGGGUAGAGCACUGUUUCGGCAAGGGGGUCAUCCCGACUUACCAACCCGAUGCAAACUGCGAAUACCGGAGAAUGUUAUCACGGGAGACACACGGCGGGUGCUAACGUCCGUCGUGAAGAGGGAAACAAC